CCUACGGGACGCAGCAGUGGGGGAUAUUGCACAAUGGGGGAAACCCUGAUGCAGCAACGCCGCGUGAGUGAAGAAGGUCUUCGGAUUGUAAAGCUCUGUUCUUGGUGAAGAUAAUGACGGUAGCCAAGGAGAAAGCCCCGGCUAACUACGUGCCAGCAGCCGCGGUAAUACGUAGGGGGCAAGCGUUAUCCGGAUUUACUGGGUGUAAAGGGAGCGUAGACGGUGCAGCAAGUCUGAUGUGAAAGGUCGGGGCCCAACCCCGGGACUGCAUUGGAAACUGUUGAACUGGAGUACAGGAGAGGUAA
This 305-nucleotide ribosomal RNA is filed under the name uncultured bacterium. Its description in RNAcentral is "bacterial SSU rRNA". It matches the Rfam family "Bacterial small subunit ribosomal RNA", at positions 338 to 660 of the family's 1533-position model. The record is from RNAcentral.